RNAcentral lists this ribosomal RNA (465 nucleotides) under Vreelandella stevensii. Its description in RNAcentral is "partial 16S ribosomal RNA". It matches the Rfam family "Bacterial small subunit ribosomal RNA", at positions 338 to 795 of the family's 1533-position model. The record is from RNAcentral. Lineage: Bacteria; Pseudomonadati; Pseudomonadota; Gammaproteobacteria; Oceanospirillales; Halomonadaceae.
CCUACGGGCGGCUGCAGUGGGGAAUAUUGGACAAUGGGCGAAAGCCUGAUCCAGCCAUGCCGCGUGUGUGAAGAAGGCCUUCGGGUUGUAAAGCACUUUCAGUGGGGAAGAAAGCCUUGGGGCUAAUACCCUCGAGGAAGGACAUCACCCACAGAAGAAGCACCGGCUAACUCCGUGCCAGCAGCCGCGGUAAUACGGAGGGUGCGAGCGUUAAUCGGAAUUACUGGGCGUAAAGCGCGCGUAGGCGGUCUGAUAAGCCGGUUGUGAAAGCCCCGGGCUCAACCUGGGAACGGCAUCCGGAACUGUCAGGCUAGAGUGCAGGAGAGGAAGGUAGAAUUCCCGGUGUAGCAGUGAAAUGCGUAGAGAUCGGGAGGAAUACCAGUGGCGAAGGCGGCCUUCUGGACUGACACUGACGCUGAGGUGCGAAAGCGUGGGUAGCAAACAGGAUUAGAUACCCCAGUAGUC